This 67-nucleotide transfer RNA is filed under the name Cerogria popularis. Its description in RNAcentral is "tRNA-Asn". Lineage: Eukaryota; Metazoa; Arthropoda; Insecta; Coleoptera; Tenebrionidae. The record is from RNAcentral.
UUAAUUGAAACCAAAAUGUAGAGGUUUAUCACUGUUAAUGAUAUAAAUGAAUUAAUUUCCAAUUAAA